CCUACGGGAGGCAGCAGUGGGGAAUAUUGGGCAAUGGACGCAAGUCUGACCCAGCAACGCCGCGUGAAUGAUGAAGGUUUUCGGGUUGUAAAGUUCUUUUGUCAGGGAUGAACAAAGUGACGGUACCUGAAGAAUAAGCCACGGCUAACUACGUGCCAGCAGCCGCGGUAAUACGUAGGUGGCAAGCGUUAUCCGGAAUUACUGGGCGUAAAGGGCGAGUAGGCGGGUAAGCAAGUCAGCUGUGUAAAUCACGGGCUCAACCUGGGCCCUGCAGUUAAAACUAUUAGACUUGAGUGCUGGAGAGGCAAGCGGAAUUCCGUGUGUAGCGGUGAAAUGCGUAGAUAUACGGAGGAACACCAGGGGCGAAGGCGAAUUGCUGGACAGUAACUGACGCUGAGGCGCGAAAGCGUGGGGAGCAAACAGGAUUAGAUACCCCAGUAGUC
This 443-nucleotide ribosomal RNA is filed under the name uncultured bacterium. RNAcentral describes it as "partial 16S ribosomal RNA". It matches the Rfam family "Bacterial small subunit ribosomal RNA", at positions 338 to 795 of the family's 1533-position model. The record is from RNAcentral.